AUACGGAGGGUGCAAGCGUUAUUCGGAAUCACUGGGCGUAAAGCGCACGUAGGCGGAAUGUUAAGUUAGAGGUGAAAUCCCAGGGCUCAACCCUGGAACUGCCUUUAAUACUGGCAAUCUAGAGACCGAGAGAGGUGAGUGGAAUUCCGAGUGUAGAGGUGAAAUUCGUAGAUAUUCGGAGGAACACCAGUGGCGAAGGCGGCUCACUGGCUCGGUACUGACGCUGAGGUGCGAAAGCGUGGGUAGCAAACAGGAUUAGAAACCCUAGUAGUCC
Molecule: ribosomal RNA, 274 nt
Filed under: uncultured bacterium
Lineage: Bacteria
Description: partial 16S ribosomal RNA
Rfam family: Bacterial small subunit ribosomal RNA
Source: RNAcentral